GUCUUUUGUAAAAUAAUUUCAUUCACUGACUUUUACAUUUCUUUUGUGUGUUUCAGAAAUGAUGGCAGCAUCCGCCGGCGGCACUGGGACGUCCCACCAGCUGCAGGUCCCACAGAGAGAGGGUACCAGUAUAUCACCAUAUGGUUCUGUGCACACCCCAUUUCGUGCCCCACAAUAUGCACAAAACGAUGUGACCAUGCAAGGUGACAACGGGCAGCUUUUGAAAGGCAAGUCUAUUAUAGAAAAUGUUGUGCUAUGUAACCACAGAAGUAUUUUGCACAUUUUUAUCUCAUGACAAU
Molecule: long non-coding RNA, 299 nt
Organism: Gadus chalcogrammus (walleye pollock)
Lineage: Eukaryota; Metazoa; Chordata; Actinopteri; Gadiformes; Gadidae
Exons: 3
Source: RefSeq, a predicted model, not a curated record